UAAAGCACACAAAUAAGUAUUUUUAUAAGAUACCGUUCUUAAUYGGUAAGUGGUUUAA
This 58-nucleotide transfer RNA is filed under the name Ruditapes philippinarum (Manila clam). Its description in RNAcentral is "tRNA-Met". Lineage: Eukaryota; Metazoa; Mollusca; Bivalvia; Venerida; Veneridae. The record is from RNAcentral.